This 253-nucleotide ribosomal RNA is filed under the name uncultured bacterium. Its description in RNAcentral is "partial 16S ribosomal RNA". It matches the Rfam family "Bacterial small subunit ribosomal RNA", at positions 524 to 776 of the family's 1533-position model. The record is from RNAcentral.
UACGUAGGGUGCAAGCGUUGUCCGGAAUUAUUGGGCGUAAAGAGCUCGUAGGUGGUUUGUUACGUCUGCUGUGAAAACCUAGGGCUUAACCCUGGGCUUGCAGUGGAUACGGGCAGACUAGAGGUAGGUAGGGGAGAAUGGAAUUCCUGGUGUAGCGGUGAAAUGCGCAGAUAUCAGGAGGAACACCGGUGGCGAAGGCGGCGCUCUGGGCCGGUACUGACGCUGAGGAGCGAAAGCGUGGGGAGCAAACAGG